RNAcentral lists this ribosomal RNA (253 nucleotides) under uncultured bacterium. RNAcentral describes it as "partial 16S ribosomal RNA". It matches the Rfam family "Bacterial small subunit ribosomal RNA", at positions 524 to 776 of the family's 1533-position model. The record is from RNAcentral.
UACGAAGGGGGCUAGCGUUGCUCGGAAUCACUGGGCGUAAAGGGUGCGUAGGCGGGUCUUUAAGUCAGGGGUGAAAUCCUGGAGCUCAACUCCAGAACUGCCUUUGAUACUGAGGAUCUUGAGUAUGGGAGAGGUGAGUGGAACUGCGAGUGUAGAGGUGAAAUUCGUAGAUAUUCGCAAGAACACCAGUGGCGAAGGCGGCUCACUGGCCCAUUACUGACGCUGAGGCGCGACAGCGUGGGGAGCAAACAGG